UACGUAGGGGGCAAGCGUUGUCCGGAUUCAUUGGGCGUAAAGAGCGUGUAGGCGGCCAGGUAGGUCGGUUGUGAAAACUGGAGGCUCAACCUUCAGAGGUCGACCGAAACCAUCUGGCUAGAGUCCGGGAGAGGAGAGUGGAAUUCCUGGUGUAGCGGUGAAAUGCGUAGAUAUCGAGAGGAACACCUGCGGCGAAGGCGGGUUGCUGGGCUGACACUGACGCUGAGGCGCGAAAGCUAGGGGAGCGAACGGG
RNAcentral lists this ribosomal RNA (253 nucleotides) under uncultured bacterium. Its description in RNAcentral is "partial 16S ribosomal RNA". It matches the Rfam family "Bacterial small subunit ribosomal RNA", at positions 524 to 776 of the family's 1533-position model. The record is from RNAcentral.